AAGGUCAAUCCCUUUUCUUAUCA
Molecule: transfer RNA, 23 nt
Filed under: Eurycea quadridigitata
Lineage: Eukaryota; Metazoa; Chordata; Amphibia; Caudata; Plethodontidae
Description: tRNA-Tyr
Source: RNAcentral